Molecule: ribosomal RNA, 283 nt
Filed under: uncultured soil bacterium
Lineage: Bacteria
Description: partial 16S ribosomal RNA
Rfam family: Bacterial small subunit ribosomal RNA
Source: RNAcentral
AGAAUCAACGCUGGCGGCGUGCCUCAGACAUGCAAGUCGAACGCGAAAGUUUUCCUUCGGGGAGCGAGUAGAGUGGCGCACGGGUGAGUAACACGUAGGUAAUCUACCUUUGGAUGGGGAAUAACAACCGGAAACGGUUGCUAAUACCGCAUGAUGCAGCGGCACCUAAUGGUGACAGUUGUUAAAGCGGGGGAUCGAAAGACCUCGCGUCUGGAAGAGGGAGCCUGGCCGGACGGACUAGCGUAGGUUGGUAGGGUAACGGCCUACCGAAGGCCAACGAUCC